This 1302-nucleotide long non-coding RNA is filed under the name Ursus maritimus (polar bear). RNAcentral describes it as "lncRNA (ENSUMAG00000003190.1)". Lineage: Eukaryota; Metazoa; Chordata; Mammalia; Carnivora; Ursidae. The record is from RNAcentral.
AACUUCCAAGAUUGAGCAAUAGCAUUUUCUCCUCCCAGAUGAAAACCUGUCCAAAACACAGGCCCAGAUUGCUUCCCUGCUCUCUCCUACACUUGGAGUGCUCGGCGCCUGGCCACAGCUGCAUGGCUCACAACAGAUUUUAUAAGGCUGUCCUUCUGCCAGGGUCCUUUGAGAAGUAAAAAUAGCUGAAAUGAGCCCGCUCUCCCGGAACCAUGAAAACAUUUCCCCAUCCCUCAAGCUUUCACCUACUGCCGUGUCAUCCUAUACCCCAUUCACUCCUUAGGAGACCAGAGUGUGCAGCCUGGAGGGGCCGUGCUGAGCCCCGCUCCACUUGGGGCUCAGCUCGAGCUGGGGCGUUCAGCUGGAGAUGGGCGAUGGCCAUCUCGGUCGCCUCUAAGAUGCGCCGAAUCAUGUAAGACGUGCCAUCGGUGAGAAAAGAGAUGCUUUCUAAUCUUCCCAGCACCUGCCGGGGCACCGAUACCUGCUUAUUACAUUCCGGGCACGAUUAACCCUUCUGAUGUUAGGGUCCUGGACUUGGUAAUGUGCUCUCAGGCCAGCGACAAAAAUAUCUCUGAGAUUUUUGAGCUAACGGUGCAUUUGCGAGGUCAUUCAAGGCUAAGACCAGAAGGAUUAAAAGAUCUGACUCCUUCCUGAGGUCCUUAGUUGUAAAGGACCAAAGAAGCCGUAAAACAAAGAUUUAUUCAGUUUCAGCCGGACAGCUCAAUGGCACAGCCCCGUAAGGACCAGGAAAAAAGAAACAUCUGGCCAGAAAAGCACACUUGUUUACGAAAAAAAAAAAAAAAAGGUUUAAGAGUCUUCUCCAGCUUUACCAAGUUUUUGGAUGAAAAUGAGGCUGAACACGAAAAACAAUGUAGAACCUUGCGAGCCACAGGGCAGCACAGGCGGAGAAAGAACAUCUUGUUUCUUCCUCGUCCAGCUGCCUCGGACCGUGGGCCCCCUCCUGAGCACCCCGGGGAGAAGCCCUGCCCUGAGGCCACUGGUCGUGAGCGUGAGAGAGAAAAGAGGUCAUCGCUCCUGGUCCUGCAAGGGCCUCCCCCCGGUCCGUAUGCCCACUCUGGCCAUCACAGACAUGCCUCAGGCACUGCCCUGGGUAGCCCUGCAGAGGACACGCUCAUCAACGAGGAGUCCACCCCAAGUUGCAAGUUCUGUCAUCCCGGCGACUUAGCCUCAUCACCAAAAUCUCACAAAUCAGACUUCUCCAAAAAAUAAAACCUGACAGACUACAGCCCAAGGACCAAAUCCAACCUGAUACCCAGUUUUGUAAAUAAAGUUUUAUUGACA